RNAcentral lists this ribosomal RNA (228 nucleotides) under uncultured Streptococcus sp. Its description in RNAcentral is "partial 16S ribosomal RNA". It matches the Rfam family "Bacterial small subunit ribosomal RNA", at positions 89 to 312 of the family's 1533-position model. Lineage: Bacteria; Bacillati; Bacillota; Bacilli; Lactobacillales; Streptococcaceae. The record is from RNAcentral.
UAAGGAGUUGCGAACGGGUGAGUAACGCGUAGGUAACCUACCUCAUAGCGGGGGAUAACUAUUGGAAACGAUAGAUAAUACCGCAUGACAAUAGGGUACACAUGUACCAUAUUUAAAAGGGGCAAAUGCUUCACUAUGAGAUGGACNUGCGUUGUAUUAGCUAGUUGGUAAGGUAACGGCUUACCAAGGCGACGAUACAUAGCCGACUUGAGAGGGUGAUCGGCCACA